Molecule: transfer RNA, 63 nt
Filed under: Siphonodentalium lobatum
Lineage: Eukaryota; Metazoa; Mollusca; Scaphopoda; Gadilida; Siphonodentaliidae
Description: tRNA-Trp
Source: RNAcentral
AUAUUAUUAAGAUUAAAAAGUCUAUAGGCCUUCAAAGCCUAAAGUGGGAUUACUCAUAAUGUG